Molecule: non-coding RNA, 105 nt
Organism: Ascosphaera acerosa
Lineage: Eukaryota; Fungi; Ascomycota; Eurotiomycetes; Onygenales; Ascosphaeraceae
Source: the annotation of a GenBank genome assembly
GCCCCGGUAGCUCAGUUGGCUAGAGCGUUCGGCUUUUACUCUGAUUUCACGAUCAGAAAAAAUGCUGAUACCGAAAUGUCGUGGGUUCGAGCCCCACUCGGGGCG